GAAAGGCUGGGAAAUUUCCCCAGCCAAUGGUGAAGCAGAGGGCCAGCAGGGAAUUACUGCCGGGUAGGAGUUCGCUGAGGGGCGUCCUAGUGUUGGAGUAGGAGGCCAUGCUCCAAGGCAAGCUUUCCCUAGGCGGCAACUCUGAGGUACUGAAGUGCGUCGGGGUUAUGCGCGAAGCAGUGAUGGGGUGACCAUCUCCCGCUUCCCGCGGGGACCCACGGGCGGGGCAGGGUCUGAACCCCCUUCGCCUAGUGCUCACGCGGGCCGCAGGCGUACACGUGGUGACCUGCCUGGGGCAGGGUUCCAGGCUCCGGCUCCUCCUCCCUCCAGCUCUCGCUCGGCUUUCUGCAGUAUCACGUGCAGCCGCGCCGAGUGCAGGAUGGCGGCGGCCGCAGCAGCGGUGGGUUUCAGGCUCCGAGACUGCUGCAGCCAGGGCGCUGUACUCCUGCUCUUCUUCUCCCUGUCCCCUCGGCCCCCGGCCGCCGCCGCCUGGCUGCUGGGCCUGCGGCCCGAGGACACCGCUGGAGGCCGCGUGUCCCUGGAGGGGGGCACCCUGCGCGCCGCUGAAGGCACAAGCUUCCUUCUGCGCGUCUAUUUCCAGCCAGGGCCCGCGGCGCCCGUGGCGCCGGUGCCCGCACCCACCCUUUCCCCGGGGGAGAACGGCACCGGUGACUGGGCACCGCGGCUGGUGUUUAUCGAGGAGCCCCCGGGCGGGAGCGGCGUGGCCCCCAGCGCUGUCCCCACGCGCCCCCCGGGGCCGCAGCGCUGCCGCGAGCAGAGCGACUGGGCGUCGGACGUGGAGGUCCUGGGGCCCCUGCGCCCCGGUGGCGUGGCGGGCUCGGCUCUAGUCCAGGUGCGGGUGCGGGAGCUGCGCAAGGGCGAGGCAGAGCGAAGCGGCGCGGGCGGUGGCGGGAAGCUCUUCUCGCUGUGCGCCUGGGACGGGCGCGCUUGGCACCACCACGGCGCUGCCGGUGGCUUCCUGCUGCGCGUCCGCCCGCGGCUGUAUGGCCCGGGCGGGGACCUUCUGCCCCCCGCGUGGCUGCGGGCGCUCGGAGCUCUCCUGCUGCUCGCCCUGUCUGCCCUGUUCAGCGGCCUGCGCUUGAGCCUGCUCUCGCUGGACCCGGUGGAGUUACGGGUGCUGCGGAACAGCGGCUCAGCCGCCGAGCAGGAACAGGCGCGCCGAGUGCAGGCCGUGCGCGGCAGGGGGACCCAUCUGCUCUGCACCCUGCUCCUGGGCCAAGCCGGAGCCAAUGCGGCCCUGGCGGGCUGGCUGUACGCCUCGCUGCCCCCGGGCGUCGGGGACGCCGGGGAAGAUUAUGGAGACGCGGGGAUUCACUUCCCGUGGCUGCCGGCGCUGGUGUGCACAGGCGCUGUGUUCCUGGGCGCCGAGAUUUGCCCCUACUCUGUGUGUUCGCGGCACGGACUGGCCAUUGCCUCGCAUAGCGUGUGCCUGACCCGGCUCCUGAUGGCGGCCGCCUUCCCCGUGUGUUACCCGCUGGGCCGCCUGCUGGACUGGGCACUGCGCCAAGAGAUCAGCACCUUCUACACGCGGGAGAAGCUGCUGGAGACGCUGAGGGCCGCGGACCCUUACAGCGACCUGGUAAAGGAAGAACUCAACAUCAUUCAAGGCGCCCUGGAGCUGCGCACCAAGGUGGUAGAGGAGGUGCUGACCCCCCUUGGGGACUGCUUCAUGCUGCGUUCCGACGCAGUGCUGGAUUUCGCCACUGUCUCCGAGAUCCUGCGCAGCGGUUACACUCGCAUCCCCGUGUACGAAGGCGACCAGCGGCACAACAUUGUGGACAUUCUGUUUGUCAAGGACUUGGCCUUCGUGGACCCCGACGACUGCACGCCGCUCCUCACCGUCACCCGCUUCUACAACCGGCCCCUGCACUGCGUCUUCAAUGAUACCCGGCUGGACACGGUGCUGGAGGAGUUUAAGAAGGGAAAAUCUCACCUGGCCAUUGUGCAGCGGGUGAAUAAUGAGGGAGAAGGGGACCCCUUCUACGAGGUGAUGGGCAUUGUCACACUGGAGGAUAUCAUAGAGGAGAUCAUCAAGUCGGAGAUCCUGGAUGAAACGGACCUCUACACUGACAAUCGGAAAAAGCAGAGGGUCCCGCACCGGGAGAGGAAGCGGCACGACUUCUCCUUGUUUAAGCUUUCAGACUCGGAGAUGAGGGUGAAGAUCUCUCCGCAGCUUCUGCUGGCCACGCACCGCUUCAUGGCCACAGAAGUGGAGCCCUUUAAGUCUCUGUACCUCUCGGAGAAGAUCCUGCUCAGGCUCCUAAAACAUCCUAACGUGAUCCAGGAGCUGAAGUUUGAUGAGAAGAACAAGAAGGCCCCAGAACACUACCUCUACCAGCGCAACCGCCCCGUGGACUACUUUGUGCUGCUUCUGCAGGGUAAAGUGGAGGUGGAGGUUGGUAAGGAAGGCCUUCGCUUCGAGAACGGAGCCUUCACCUACUAUGGUGUCCCAGCCAUCAUGACCACUGCCUGCUCAGAUAACGAUGUGCGGAAGGUCGGAAGUCUGGCUGGAUCCUCUGCCUUUCUGCCCGUCUCUGUGUCUCGUACCUUCGCCUUCAGCAGAGGGGACUCUCUGGCAGGCUCCCCAGUCAACCGAUCCCCUUCGCGCUGCAGUGGGUUGAACCGCUCUGAGUCUCCCAACCGCGAGCGCAGUGACUUUGGGGGGAGCAACACCCAGCUGUGCAGCAGCAGCAACAACCUCUACACGCCUGACUACUCCGUCCACAUCCUCAGCGAUGUGCAGUUCGUGAAGGUCACACGGCAGCAGUAUCAGAACGCACUCACCGCCUGCCACAUGGACAGCUCACCCCAGUCCCCGGACAUGGAAGCCUUCACUGACGGAGACUCCACCAAGGCCCCCACGACCCGGGGCACACCCCAGACUCCCAAGGAAGACCCUGCCGCCACCCUCCUGAGCAACAGGAACAUCCUGCCGUGCAGCCGCUCCGAUGGGCUGAGAAGCCCCGGUGAGGUCGUGUACCUGAGGAUGGAGGAGACGGCCUUCGCCCAGGAGGAGAUGACGGACUUGGAGGAGCCGAGCACACAGCAGCUCUCACUGUCUCCUGCAGCUGUUCCCGUGAGAGCAGGUCAGGGAGGGCAGCUGGGCCCGCGGGAGCGAGUGGGUUGUGGCCGUCAGGCACUGGGAUGGCCUGGGGUGAGCCAGGUGAGGGAAGUCUGGGACCCCGGCCCCCACGUACAACUGCCCACCUCCUUAUGCCAGCAGCGAAGGGAAACUAAGGCUUACUGCUCACCUACCUACCGCUCUUCAGGCCCAUCUUAACUCAUUCUCCCAGGAAGACAGCGUGUAGGACAGUGUUAGCUAGGUUUCAAACCUGGACUCAGACCCUGGCCUCUCCAUUGAGGAGCUACACAGCUUUCAACAAGUUAACCUAAGACUCGAUUUCCUUAUGCCGAUAGAUGUAAAUCAUGAAGCAGCUUUGAGCAUAAAUGCGAUAACCUCUUUAGGAAGGCACCUCACAAUGCUUGGUUCCAUGCCCCCUAAACAGUUACUAUUAGGCCUAGUUUACAGAUGAGGAAACGGAGGUCAGCUAUCACUCUUAAUGGCAGGGCUCUUCCCUUCCUUCAGGCCCCAGAGACUGGCAGUCAUCUGUAGACUCUGUCCUAAGGUCUGGGAUCACAGCACCUCUCUUGGAGACACUGAAUGCUUCUGUCUCAACAGCUAUGUUGCUGUGAGCUCCCAGUAUCCCACCCAUCCUGAGAUUAUACAUCCCUAAGCAUUCAGCAGCCCCCUCCACCAACACUCCCAGACCAGUCCUUACCCCACUCGACCUUCCAGAUCUGCUCCAGUCCACAGCCUACCAUCCCUCAAGUCCAGAGCAAUGAUCUGACAAGUGCUCGUGGAUUUUUUGAAGUCAGUGAGAAGUUGUGGCCAACUCGGAAAAUCUGGGACGUGCAUCAUCACCAUUCCAGGACCUGAGUUUAGAACCAAUUUUUUUUUCUCCUGCACAUGUAGCAAGACGUUAUAUGAAAGCAAUGAGGGUGGAGAUGUUGGCAGUCCAUCCUCCCCGUAUGACACAUGGGGGCCCUAGGCCUGGAGGAGAGAAAUGGCUUGCCCAGUUUACCUCAUUAGAAGUGGACCCAACAGAGUUCCUGUUGUGGCUCAGCAGGUUAAGGACCCGACGUUGUCUCUGUGAGGGUGUGGGUUCAAUCUCUGGCCUCGCUCAGUGGGUUAAGGAUUAGUUGCUGCAAGCUGUGGCAUAGGUCGCAGAUGCGGCUCAGAUGCAGUGUUGCUGUGGCUGUGGCACAGGCCCCAGCAGCAGCUCCAGUUUAGCUCCUAGCCCAGGAAUGUCUAUGUGCCACAGUGCGGCUGUUAAAAAAAGAAAAAGAAAUGGGCUCAGCCUUGUGGCUUCAGGAGUGGUGCAGUUUCCACCAUACCACCUUGCCUCCCCUCUUAGGUUCACGAGCAUUGGCGGUGAGGGCCUGGGUCCCUUCCUGGCUCUGAGAGUCAGUGGCUCUCAGAAUCCCGACUAUGUUCAGUGGGAGAAGAGAGGGGGCAUGUGCCUCGUUACUGAGCCCUGAGAUUUUCCAGGGCCUGUGCAGGUAGAGGAAGGAGACGCUUGACCCAUUCCCAAAGGUGAUCUUCUUUUUGUUCCUUUUGUGGCACUAAAAUGCCCCUUGCUAACCAAUUAGAGCCCUCAGCUUCCUGGAUAUCCCUCCCCUUAUCACAGCCACCCCUGCCUUGGCUCUGGUUUUGAACUUUCACGUGCUGAGGAACAUGAACCCAAACUGCCCUCUCCCUGGAUCCCUGAGUGUGUAGGUGGAAAGGCUUGCGUUCUUUCUUCUUUCCUUUCUCUCAGGGUCAGAUAGUGAAUGUUGCCACAUCAACCUGGACACGGAGACCAGCCCCUGCAGCAGCGACUUUGAGGAAACCAUGGGCAAGAAGUUGCUGAGAACUUUGAGUGGUCGAAAAAGGAAGAGGUCACCAGAUGGAGAAAGAACUUCUGAGGAGAACUCCAACUUAACGCCUCUCAUCACAUGACAGGCAGUGUUCGCUGGGUGCGUGAGAUUGCAGAGCUUUGGGGAGAACCCGUCCUCCCAUCGUGUUCCUCCCCAAGGCCUCACAGGUGACAGAGCGUUCUGCUUUCCUUACCACCUCUUCACCCCUAGCUGUCAGUUUGGCAGAUUUUCCCUUGUUGCCUCCAGUAUGACUCAGAGCCUUGCUGUAGCCAUAACGGAAGGAAGUGCCUCCAGUGGAACAUGCUAGAAAUGGUCUUGUUCACAGCACAGUCUGGGAUUGGAGAAGAAAUGACCCAGGCUGACAAGGUCACUCUAGGACCCCUGAUGCCCUUUUUAGUUCUUUGGUGUCCCCUGGCGCCAUAUUUCAUGCUUAGCUUAGGUCAAAAGGUGCCACCGGCAGACGGGCACUAGGAUCUGGAGCAGCAGAUAAGGAGGUUAAUUCAGGAGAUGCACUAAGAAUUCUUCCAGAACAUUAGAGCAGUGGGACUCGAUCAUGUCGGCAUGUGAAGUUACAGUACAGAAAACUGUUGGUGACCAGUUUCCUGUUAGUUGAGGGUUUCGGCAGCUUAGGAGCUUUGUCUCAGCUGGAGUGGAAAGAAUGCGAGAUAGAACCUCAAGUCACUGUAUUUCCCAGGGACACAUCUGUUUUGGCUCCUGAUCUGCAGUCAUCAAUUCAUCAGUAAAUCUGCUCUGGAAGAGGAGGAUCAGGAAGCAGAGAAACCCAUUUGGGAGCCAGAGAUGGAACUUCAGGUAUUAAGUUUUUAAAAAAUUAGGUGGAAACAUUUUUAGCCAUGACAAACCAAAGAGUGCCCAAGUCGGCCGAGAAGGAUGCAAGCUCUCAUGGGACUUCAAUGUGCGUUACACAGGAACAUUGAAGAAUCACUCUUCUUUUUUCAUCCAUUCGCUCACCCCGACUUCUUACUACACUCCAGCAAGUCAGUUGAGUGUAAUUUAUUCCAAGAACAUAGGAGAGCCUCUGGUUUUUCACCUGAUGUUGGGGGCAGAUGCAAUCCCAAGCAUAACCACCAGAUGGCAGGAUGACUGAAAAUAGCUAAAACUUGUUCUGAUGGGGAACCACACAGCCAGGUUUUUAGGAAAAAAAUGUGGAAGUAAGUGAAGGGUGUCUUCCGGACACCUGCUUCCCUUUCUGAUGUAUGUCCCUCCCCUUGGGUUCCCUGGGUCAGGGAUCCAGUGAUUCAGUGCUUUCUGCUGAAUCUCCAAGCCAUUCCCUAACUUUUCUCUGGGGUAUACCAUUCAGGCUUCGCUUCCUUUCCUCCAAAACCAUGACUCCCAUAUCCCCACCCCCAUUCAAUCAAUAAUCACAUGGGGAGUAGGGAAGCUGAUAAUUCCUCUGGGUUAUUUGCAUCUCAAAAGAAAAUGCUUACCCACAGGAACCUUUAACUCAGGGGUUCUUAACUUGGGGUCCAUCACUCCAGAGGGUCCAUUGUUGGACUUCAGAGGGUCUGUGAAACCCCUGUUAGAAUUUAGUGUCUGUGUUCUUAUGUGUGUUUCCCAGGGGGCUAAAGCUUUCAUGUGAUUCUCAGAGGUCUCAGACGCACAUGAUGUUAAAACCCACUAUUUUAACUAGUGGAACUUUCAGCCCAAAGUUUCUGCAAUGCAGAGUGAAGUGAAUACCAGGUAGUCAAAAGAUGGAUUUUUAGUUAUAAAGUGGUCUUCUCAAGUGUCCAUCAAAUCGAUGGGGAAAGCUGAUAGCCACCAAGUGGAAGUUGUCAGAAAUUCUUGGCACACCCUAGGGUAUUGUACAGCCUAUACCCCCACGUAAUUCGGUCCCCCUCUUCCACACCAAACCAGAGCAGGUGUUGCAGACAGGAGGGGCACUGCCUAUGGAAGUGGACUUUCUAGCUGGAGAUGCCUUUUUCAGCAAUGUAUUACUGACUUCACAUCCCUUGCCUGGCUCUGCCUGAGGCUCAGCAGUGCAUGACUUCUUGUACAUAACUCACGGCUACCAACCACUCCCAACACCUACUCUUACCUGGUAGAAAUAGGCAGAGUGUCAGCUCUCAGUGCUAGGUGCCUCAGACCCAAACCAGUGAAUGGUGAGGUUCAAGCAAGGGCUGCCAUCAUGCAGUCUUUUUACCCAGCUGGCCACUGGCCCAAGGGGGCUCACCCGCCUAGUCUUCCUUUCAUUACCGCUUAGGCCACUGCUGUUGUAUUACAUUCCUCCCUUUGCAAAAUCCCUAAGGAGCCUGUCACCACUCCCCUCCCUACUGUCCGCCCCAAACCAAGAUUUUCUUCAGGUUAAAAAAGAAAAAAAAAGUAAAAGGUUUUUAAAAUAAAGCAUUUAUGAAGGCUGAAUAUAUUGUAAAUAGUUUUUAAAUACAAUAAAAAUGCUUUUCCUGGAA
Sus scrofa (pig) is the source of this 7361-nucleotide non-coding RNA. The record is from RefSeq and is a predicted model, not a curated record. Lineage: Eukaryota; Metazoa; Chordata; Mammalia; Artiodactyla; Suidae.